UGGGGAAUUUUGGACAAUGGGCGCAAGCCUGAUCCAGCCAUGCCGCGUGCGGGAAGAAGGCCUUCGGGUUGUAAACCGCUUUUGUCAGGGAAGAAAAGGUUCUGGUUAAUACCUGGGACUCAUGACGGUACCUGAAGAAUAAGCACCGGCUAACUACGUGCCAGCAGCCGCGGUAAUACGUAGGGUGCAAGCGUUAAUCGGAAUUACUGGGCGUAAAGCGUGCGCAGGCGGUUAUGCAAGACAGAGGUGAAAUCCCCGGGCUCAACCUGGGAACUGCCUUUGUGACUGCAUAGCUAGAGUACGGUAGAGGGGGAUGGAAGUCCGCGUGUAGCAGUGAAAUGCGUAGAUAUGCGGAGGAACACCGAUGGCGAAGGCAAUCCCCUGGACCUGUACUGACGCUCAUGCACGAAAGCGUGGGGAGCAAACAGG
This 429-nucleotide ribosomal RNA is filed under the name bacterium. Its description in RNAcentral is "partial 16S ribosomal RNA". It matches the Rfam family "Bacterial small subunit ribosomal RNA", at positions 355 to 776 of the family's 1533-position model. The record is from RNAcentral.